CCCUUAGAUGUUCUGGGCAGCACGCGCGCUACACUGACCAGUGCAACAAGCAUCCGUCCUUGGCCGACAGGCCCGGGCAAUCUUUGAACGCCGGUCGUGAUGGGGAUAGACUUUUGCAAUUUUUGGUCUUCAACGAGGAAUUCCUAGUAAACGCAAGUCAUCAACUUGCAUUGAUUACGUCCCUGCCCUUUGUACACACCGCCCGUCGCACCUACCGAUUGAAUGGUCCGGUGAAGCCUCCGGAUUGGCGCGCACCUCGGUGCCGCCGAGAAGUUGGCUAAACCUUACCAUUUAGAGGAAGGUGAAGUCGUAACA
This 315-nucleotide ribosomal RNA is filed under the name uncultured eukaryote. RNAcentral's name for it is "partial 18S ribosomal RNA". It matches the Rfam family "Eukaryotic small subunit ribosomal RNA", at positions 1470 to 1796 of the family's 1831-position model. The record is from RNAcentral.